This is a long non-coding RNA of Grus americana (Whooping crane), 529 nucleotides long. RefSeq lists it as uncharacterized. The record is from RefSeq and is a predicted model, not a curated record. The transcript has 4 exons. NCBI's taxonomy places the organism in Eukaryota, Metazoa, Chordata, Aves, Gruiformes, Gruidae.
UGACAGCAAAGGAAAGGCGGAGAGCGGAGAAAGAAGCGUCUGCGCUGGCAAGCUCUCCCGGCAGCGCCGAGAGCCAGAGCUGCGGUGCUGCUGCGCCGAUGCUCCGUACGUUCGCAGUAACGGGUAGAGCGGAAGGCUCCGUGGCCAGGGAAGAGCGGCACGGACACGUUCCUGCUCGCUCCGUUGCACCGGAAUUUCGACGGCUGGGUUCGGCCGCUAAAUUGAUGGCGCUACCGGAAGAAAUUUCAGAAAAAUAUGAGAAAAGCUCUGUCCAGAGAUAUGGAGACGAAAUCAGUUGUACCUCACCCUGUGACACCGGAAGACAUUGAGUAACUCGUCCUGCAGCUGGCUCCUCGGUUUUGGCGGCAGCCUGCACAUAGCAGCCCAGCUCUCCAGCAGCCUGACGGACCGACCGUGUGUCUGUUCCACGCCGGACUGGCGAGCGUGGCUCCGGGUAGGACAGCCGAGGUGCCCCAGGGCCGGGCCCCGAGCCCCGGUGCGGAGUCUCUCCCGGAACCGGCUCUGUGUG